GUGCAGUCAGGACACAAGGUAGAAGACACGGGCUGCAAGGAAACUGCCAGAAGAAUCAAGCUGCCAGAAGAAUGACAGAGCGCAGAGCACACACAGUAAAAAGCAGCCGAGUGAAUGACCACAUGAAUUGAAAACAACAAAGAAACAUAAAAGACCAGACC
Nothoprocta perdicaria is the source of this 161-nucleotide long non-coding RNA. RefSeq lists it as uncharacterized. The record is from RefSeq and is a predicted model, not a curated record. NCBI's taxonomy places the organism in Eukaryota, Metazoa, Chordata, Aves, Tinamiformes, Tinamidae. The transcript is spliced from 2 exons.